UAAAAUCUAGUGGCGGUCUCGCUGCAGCCUCCAUUGCGUAGUAGCUAACACCUCGCAACUGGAACGCGGCGCGGCCAAGCCGUUAAACCCCCAACUUCUGGAU
This 103-nucleotide unclassified non-coding RNA is filed under the name uncultured soil eukaryote. RNAcentral's name for it is "sequence contains ITS2". The record is from RNAcentral.